RNAcentral lists this ribosomal RNA (483 nucleotides) under uncultured bacterium. Its description in RNAcentral is "partial 16S ribosomal RNA". It matches the Rfam family "Bacterial small subunit ribosomal RNA", at positions 28 to 507 of the family's 1533-position model. The record is from RNAcentral.
GACGAACGCUGGCGGCGUGCUUAACACAUGCAAGUCGAACGAUGAAGCGGGUGCUUGCACUCGUGGAUUAGUGGCGAACGGGCGAGUAACACGUGAGUAACCUGUCCUUUUCUUUGGGAUAACGGCUGGAAACGGCUGCUAAUACUGGAUAUUCAGGCUGCAUCGCAUGGUGUGGUUUGGAAAGGUUUUUUCUGGGAUUGGGUGGGCUCGCGGCCUAUCAGCUUGUUGGUGGGGUGAUGGCUUACCAAGGCUUUGACGGGUAGCCGGCCUGAGAGGGUGGUCGGUCGCAAUGGGACUGAGAUACGGCCCAGACUCCUACGGGAGGCAGCAGUGGGGAAUAUUGCACAAUGGACGAAAGGUUGAUGCAGCGACGCCGCGUGGAGGGUGUAGGCCUUCGGGUUGUGAACUCCUUUUUCUCGCGAAAAAGGCACAGUUUUGGCUGUGUUGAUGGUAGUGGGGGAAGAAGCGCCGGCUAACUACGUG